ACCUGAUUCCAUCCCGAACUCAGAAGUGAAAAGCUGUAACGUCGAUGGUAGUGUGGGGAUUCCCCAUGUGAGAGUAGAGCAUCGUCGGGG
This 90-nucleotide ribosomal RNA is filed under the name Glaesserella parasuis. The record is from RNAcentral. Lineage: Bacteria; Pseudomonadati; Pseudomonadota; Gammaproteobacteria; Pasteurellales; Pasteurellaceae.